UAAGGAAUAUUGGUCAAUGGACGCAAGUCUGAACCAGCCAUGCCGCGUGAAGGAUGAAGGUCCUCUGGAUUGUAAACUUCUUUUAUCUGGGACGAAAACGGGAUUUUUAUCUCAAGUGACGGUACCAGAGGAAUAAGCACCGGCUAACUCCGUGCCAGCAGCCGCGGUAAUACGGAGGGUGCGAGCGUUAUCCGGAUUUACUGGGUUUAAAGGGUGCGUAGGUGGGCUUAUAAGUCAGUGGUGAAAUCUCCGAGCUUAACUUGGAAACUGCCGUUGAUACUAUAGGUCUUGAAUUAUCUGGAGGUAAGCGGAAUAUGGCAUGUAGCGGUGAAAUGCUUAGAUAUGACAUAGAACACCAAUUGCGAAGGCAGCUUACUACAUAUAAAUUGACGCUGAGGCACGAAAGCGUGGGGAUCAAAC
Molecule: ribosomal RNA, 420 nt
Filed under: uncultured bacterium
Lineage: Bacteria
Description: bacterial SSU rRNA
Rfam family: Bacterial small subunit ribosomal RNA
Source: RNAcentral